This 440-nucleotide ribosomal RNA is filed under the name uncultured bacterium. RNAcentral describes it as "partial 16S ribosomal RNA". It matches the Rfam family "Bacterial small subunit ribosomal RNA", at positions 338 to 795 of the family's 1533-position model. The record is from RNAcentral.
CCUACGGGAGGCAGCAGUGGGGGAUAUUGCACAAUGGAGGAAACUCUGAUGCAGCGACGCCGCGUGAGGGAAGACGGUCUUCGGAUUGUAAACCUCUGUCUUUGGGGAAGAAAAUGACGGUACCUGAAGAAGAAGCCCCGGCUAACUACGUGCAAGCAGCCGCGGUAAUACGUAGGGGGCAAGCGUUAUCCGGAUGUACUGGGUGUAAAGGGGGCGCAGGCGGGGAUGCAAGCCAGGAGGUAAAGCCCGGGGCCCAACCCCGGGACUGCUCUUGGAACUGCGUGGCUAGAGUGCAGGAGGGGCAGGCGGAAUUCCUGGUGUAGCGGUGAAAUGCGUAGAUAUCAGGAGGAACACCGGUGGCGAAGGCGGCCUGCUGGACUGCAACUGACGUUGAGGCCCGAAAGCGUGGGGAGCAAACAGGAUUAGAUACCCGGGUAGUC